GGGGGCGGGGCCCGGAGGGAGUCUGGGAGGGCCCGAAAGUUUGCCCAAGUCGCUGGGGCGGCCGGCCGGGGUGCAAGCAGUCGGGCCGGGCUCCCACGACCCCCGCGCGGGGCGGGCCCAGGCAGGAAGUGGGCGCACUUACUGGCCCCCUCGAUCUUGUCGGCGCCCCGGCUCCACGUGAUCUGGCGCGUCUCCAGCUUGACCUGGAAGGUCUUCCGCUCGGGUCGCUGCGACUUCUUGGAGUAGAACAAAGUCAUGACGGUGCCCACCUCGAGGCUGCGGCAGAGCACCGCCAAAAUUGAGGACACCCACGGUCGCGGUGGAGCCUGUCUGACAUGUUGAGCCAGGCAGUGGGUCGGCUGCCAGGCACAGCAGGACAACUUACUGCAUUUCAGAGGAAUGAUGGUCCACAAUUUACUGAUGAGGAAACAGAGAUUCAGAGAAGUUCUACAAUUUGCCCCAAAGCCACAUAACAUGACUAGGUGGGAACUAGAACCCAAGUCGGCCUGACUCCAUGAGUUUUCUGCCUCACAGGAGAUCCACUGGCUUAGAGUUUCUCUCUCGUCGCCCAGGCUGGCGUGCAAUGGCACAAUCUUGGCUCACUGCAAUCUCCGCCUCCCGAGUUCAAGCAGUCCUGCCUCAGCCUCCUGAGUCUCUUUUGAUUUGGUGCUGUCACAGGUUGGGUUCUUUGGAUGUGGACUCUGUGACAGGAAACCAGCCAAGUAACCUUGUUAUCAUGCCGGACUUCUUUCCACUUAUGUCCUGGAGGAGGAGAAGGAACCUUGGCAUCUCUGGAAAUAACAGAGCACGAGGAUAGUGAAAUAAGAUGCCCCAAAGUGUGAAAGUGGUGAUGUUGGCAAUUUGGAUAUGCCAUACAGAAGCUGCACAGAGUGCUUUAAAUGAAAAGGUGGAAAUUAUCGACUUAAUAAAAAAAACUGUAUGGUGAAGUUGCUAAGAUCUAAGGCAGCCUGUAGAAGAAAAAUGACAUCCCAGCUGGAUACCAGAAAGAUCCUUCAGUAAUGAGGAUGGCCAAGGCUGGAAGAUGGAGAUGGAUGAGCAUCACAAGAUUCCAGAGUAAAAUAGAUCAAAGAGCAGGGAGGUACAUGGCCAAUAUGAUUUCAUCUGUCUUAAAUCCUUAAUAUCCAGUAGCCACUGUGGGACAGGUCUGCCCAUCCUUAAUUACUAUAUUAUUGGCUGGAGUUACUGACUGGUUUUUAGGUCACUGAAGCACCAAGAUUCCUGUACAGAGCUACUGAGCAAAGUACUUGUUCACAAUUUUCAGUCUAACUAAAACCUUUAAGAAAAUUUAGACUUUGAGAACUCUAAGUCUUUAGCAUAGAAUGAUGUGAAAUUACUGAUGUUAAUGUUGUGUCAUAAGAACCAAGAAGAAAGUUAAAUGAACCAAUCACAAUUCCAGAAUUCUCCAGAGGUUUAAUAAAUUCUGUAGUACCAGUUUCUCUUCCUUGCUCAUCUGUUUCCGAGCUUCCGUCUGGGCUUUGAAAUACUGGCUCAUCUGGGUAAAAUCACAUUUGCUUAGGUUGGUGAUAAUAUUCUUCUCUUCAUUAGUCAUUUCCUAGUCAAAAGAAAAUGGGGAGAUGAAAGAAAAACAACGAAAAUACACUAAUAAGUCCUUGGGUUUCUUUGCAAAUACACCCAAGCACCAUUUUUUCAGUCAAAGGUUUCUGGAAGUAGCCAAUCUCAAUUAAUGAAUUUUGAAAAAACAAAAAAAUACAGUUGUAUUACUUUAUUAUAAAAUAUGUACUUACUAAUAUUAAAAUGUUUUAAAAUGACUUAAAAAAAAAAAAAA
RNAcentral lists this long non-coding RNA (1807 nucleotides) under Homo sapiens (human). Its description in RNAcentral is "PLCG1 antisense RNA 1 (PLCG1-AS1)". The record is from RNAcentral. Lineage: Eukaryota; Metazoa; Chordata; Mammalia; Primates; Hominidae.